This 2274-nucleotide ribosomal RNA is filed under the name Acinetobacter baumannii. RNAcentral's name for it is "bacterial SSU rRNA". The stretch from base 743 to 2274 matches the Rfam family "Bacterial small subunit ribosomal RNA". The record is from RNAcentral. Lineage: Bacteria; Pseudomonadati; Pseudomonadota; Gammaproteobacteria; Moraxellales; Moraxellaceae.
AGAGUUUGAUCAUGGCUCAGAUUGAACGCUGGCGGCAGGCUUAACACAUGCAAGUCGAGCGGGGGAAGGUAGCUUGCUACCGGACCUAGCGGCGGACGGGUGAGUAAUGCUUAGGAAUCUGCCUAUUAGUGGGGGACAACAUCUCGAAAGGGAUGCUAAUACCGCAUACGUCCUACGGGAGAAAGCAGGGGAUCUUCGGACCUUGCGCUAAUAGAUGAGCCUAAGUCGGAUUAGCUAGUUGGUGGGGUAAAGGCCUACCAAGGCGACGAUCUGUAGCGGGUCUGAGAGGAUGAUCCGCCACACUGGGACUGAGACACGGCCCAGACUCCUACGGGNNNNNNNNNNNNNNNNNNNNNAUGGUCUAUAAUGCACAUCCAUCGGCGGUGAUGCAGAUAGAAACUUGUUGAAAAACAGUUACUUGUGAUUAGAUUGGUUGCUUUAAGUGAUGAAUUUGAUGAUGAGGUAGUUUGGAGAAUAAGUUUUAAAAAUAUCGAAAUUACCUGUUGACUUUUAAGAGAUUAAGAGUAAUAUAGCCGACCUAGCUUGCUGGUGACGAACCAGUAAGAAGAUCAUUAAGAGAAUUGAAGAACAACUUGUGUGGAUUUUUACUGAUUGAUUAAUCGAAAUAAUUUUCAUUGAUUGAUUGGUUUAAAUUACUCGAAGUUUAUUUGAGCGAAAUUUAAGUCAGUAAUUGAUGAGCCAGAAUUGGCACCUUGUCUAUAAAUAAGGUGCAAAAUGAUUUUAACUGAAGAGUUUGAUCAUGGCUCAGAUUGAACGCUGGCGGCAGGCUUAACACAUGCAAGUCGAGCGGGGGAAGGUAGCUUGCUACCGGACCUAGCGGCGGACGGGUGAGUAAUGCUUAGGAAUCUGCCUAUUAGUGGGGGACAACAUCUCGAAAGGGAUGCUAAUACCGCAUACGUCCUACGGGAGAAAGCAGGGGAUCUUCGGACCUUGCGCUAAUAGAUGAGCCUAAGUCGGAUUAGCUAGUUGGUGGGGUAAAGGCCUACCAAGGCGACGAUCUGUAGCGGGUCUGAGAGGAUGAUCCGCCACACUGGGACUGAGACACGGCCCAGACUCCUACGGGAGGCAGCAGUGGGGAAUAUUGGACAAUGGGGGGAACCCUGAUCCAGCCAUGCCGCGUGUGUGAAGAAGGCCUUAUGGUUGUAAAGCACUUUAAGCGAGGAGGAGGCUACUUUAGUUAAUACCUAGGGAUAGUGGACGUUACUCGCAGAAUAAGCACCGGCUAACUCUGUGCCAGCAGCCGCGGUAAUACAGAGGGUGCGAGCGUUAAUCGGAUUUACUGGGCGUAAAGCGUGCGUAGGCGGCUUAUUAAGUCGGAUGUGAAAUCCCCGAGCUUAACUUGGGAAUUGCAUUCGAUACUGGUGAGCUAGAGUAUGGGAGAGGAUGGUAGAAUUCCAGGUGUAGCGGUGAAAUGCGUAGAGAUCUGGAGGAAUACCGAUGGCGAAGGCAGCCAUCUGGCCUAAUACUGACGCUGAGGUACGAAAGCAUGGGGAGCAAACAGGAUUAGAUACCCUGGUAGUCCAUGCCGUAAACGAUGUCUACUAGCCGUUGGGGCCUUUGAGGCUUUAGUGGCGCAGCUAACGCGAUAAGUAGACCGCCUGGGGAGUACGGUCGCAAGACUAAAACUCAAAUGAAUUGACGGGGGCCCGCACAAGCGGUGGAGCAUGUGGUUUAAUUCGAUGCAACGCGAAGAACCUUACCUGGCCUUGACAUACUAGAAACUUUCCAGAGAUGGAUUGGUGCCUUCGGGAAUCUAGAUACAGGUGCUGCAUGGCUGUCGUCAGCUCGUGUCGUGAGAUGUUGGGUUAAGUCCCGCAACGAGCGCAACCCUUUUCCUUACUUGCCAGCAUUUCGGAUGGGAACUUUAAGGAUACUGCCAGUGACAAACUGGAGGAAGGCGGGGACGACGUCAAGUCAUCAUGGCCCUUACGGCCAGGGCUACACACGUGCUACAAUGGUCGGUACAAAGGGUUGCUACACAGCGAUGUGAUGCUAAUCUCAAAAAGCCGAUCGUAGUCCGGAUUGGAGUCUGCAACUCGACUCCAUGAAGUCGGAAUCGCUAGUAAUCGCGGAUCAGAAUGCCGCGGUGAAUACGUUCCCGGGCCUUGUACACACCGCCCGUCACACCAUGGGAGUUUGUUGCACCAGAAGUAGCUAGCCUAACUGCAAAGAGGGCGGUUACCACGGUGUGGCCGAUGACUGGGGUGAAGUCGUAACAAGGUAGCCGUAGGGGAACCUGCGGCUGGAUCACCU